Molecule: non-coding RNA, 29 nt
Filed under: Homo sapiens (human)
Lineage: Eukaryota; Metazoa; Chordata; Mammalia; Primates; Hominidae
Source: RNAcentral
UGGUGACUUGAUGACCCAUGGUCAAAUGU